UAAAGGUAUUCCGGUAGACGAUGGGGAUGCGUUCCAUUAGAUAGUAGGCGGGGUAACGGCCCACCUAGUCUUCGAUGGAUAGGGGUUCUGAGAGGAAGGUCCCCCACAUUGGAACUGAGACACGGUCCAAACUCCUACGGGAGGCAGCAGUGAGGAAUAUUGGUCAAUGGGCGAGAGCCUGAACCAGCCAAGUAGCGUGAAGGAUGACUGCCCUAUGGGUUGUAAACUUCUUUUAUAAAGGAAUAAAGUCGGGUAUGCAUACCCGUUUGCAUGUACUUUAUGAAUAAGGAUCGGCUAACUCCGUGCCAGCAGCCGCGGUAAUACGGAGGAUCCGAGCGUUAUCCGGAUUUAUUGGGUUUAAAGGGAGCGUAGAUGGAUGUUUAAGUCAGUUGUGAAAGUUUGCGGCUCAACCGUAAAAUUGCAGUUGAUACUGGAUAUCUUGAGUGCAGUUGAGGCAGGCGGAAUUCGUGGUGUAGCGGUGAAAUGCUUAGAUAUCACGAAGAACUCCGAUUGCGAAGGCAGCCUGCUAAGCUGCAACUGACAUUGAGGCUCGAAAGUGUGGGUAUCAAACAGGAUUAGAUACCCUGGUAGUCCACACGGUAAACGAUGAAUACUCGCUGUUUGCGAUAUACGGCAA
Molecule: ribosomal RNA, 637 nt
Filed under: uncultured bacterium
Lineage: Bacteria
Description: bacterial SSU rRNA
Rfam family: Bacterial small subunit ribosomal RNA
Source: RNAcentral